GUGGUGGCCACUUGUGUAUUCUUCACACUAUAAUUACGCUUAUUGCCACCAACCAACCCAAACUUAUUACCCAACACCAACACCAACACCACCACCCGUUCCCUUUCUUCUUUUUCUCCCAACAACCAAACUUGGUAGUGUACUAUACCUUUCACCAUUGUGUUUGCGUUUCUCAAUUUCACUCUCCGUGGUUUGGUUUGGCGUGGUUUGUUAUAUUCCCAAUUUUCAUGGCUUCUUCUCUCUCCACCAAACCAUUCGGAACCGACGCUCUCUCCGCCGUCACUUCUCUCAAUUCCGAUCUCCGUUCCAUCUCCUCCGUCUACCUCCGAGUCUCUUUCCGUCCUCGCCUUCCCAAGAGACUCCAGAUACAGGCGGCAGGGAGUACCUAUGGGAAUCACUUUCGUGUUACAACAUAUGGAGAAUCUCAUGGAGGAGGUGUUGGUUGUGUUAUUGAUGGAUGUCCUCCUCGCAUCCCUCUCUCUGAAGCUGAUAUGCAAGUGGAUCUUGACAGAAGGAGGCCAGGUCAGAGCCGAAUUACAACUCCUAGAAAGGAGACUGAUACAUGUAAAAUAUUUUCAGGAGUCUCUGAAGGACUUACUACUGGAACCCCAAUUCAUGUAUUUGUACCCAAUACUGAUCAAAGAGGACAUGACUAUAGUGAGAUGUCAUUAGCUUAUAGGCCUUCCCAUGCAGAUGCUACCUAUGACAUGAAGUAUGGUGUCAGAUCAGUUCAGGGUGGUGGAAGAUCUUCUGCAAGGGAAACAAUUGGAAGGGUUGCUUCUGGUGCUGUUGCUAAGAAAAUCCUUCAAAACUUUUCUGGAACGGAGAUUCUUGCCUAUGUCUCUCAAGUUCAUAAGGUGGUUCUUCCUGAGGAUCUUAUUGACAAUGAUACUCUGACACUUGAUCAGAUUGAGAGUAACAUUGUCCGAUGUCCAGACCCUGAAUAUGCUGAGAAGAUGAUAUCUGCAAUUGAUGCUGUCCGAGUGAGAGGUGAUUCUGUUGGUGGUGUUGUAACGUGCAUUGUGAGGAACUGUCCACGUGGUCUCGGUUCACCAGUAUUUGACAAACUUGAAGCUGAGCUGGCUAAAGCUGUCAUGUCAUUGCCUGCAACUAAGGGCUUCCAAUUUGGUAGUGGGUUUGCAGGUACGUUUUUGACUGGGAGUGAACACAAUGAUGAGUUCUAUAUAGAUGAACAUGGAAAGACGAGAACAAGAACCAACCGCUCUGGCGGGAUACAGGGUGGAAUUUCCAAUGGGGAAAUCAUUAACAUGAGAAUAGCUUUCAAGCCAACAUCAACAAUUGGUUGUACACUUUCUGAUUGGUGACUUGACUGGUUUGUGGGUCAAUGGGUUUUCCUCAGACACUUCCCCUUUCAGUUCCAUCACUGAAGCUGCUUCAUGCCAAAUGUUCAUCUACUGAGCUGCAUUGCAUUAGCUCUCUUUUCCUCCUUUGCUACCUUAGCCACAUACUUCCAACAAUUUUAAUUACUCUGAUAACAUGACGCCUGGUAUUUUGACUGGCAUUGAGGAACUCCAACAUUAAAUAAGAAACAACUUACAGUGACUCGAGAUAAAAAGGAAACAGAGCUGAUAGCCCGUGGCCGCCAUGAUCCUUGUGUUGUCCCAAGAGCUGUACCAAUGGUAGAGGCCAUGGUAGCUUUGGUUCUUGUGGACCAAUUGAUGGCACAAUUCGCACAGUGUAGUCUGUUUCCCAUAAACUUAGAUUUGCAAGAACCCUUGGUGCCUAUAUUAGAGACAGAAGAAGUGCCUUUCUGAAAGAAGAUGAAUGGGAUGCACGGUGGCCUGUGUUCAAAUCUUCAUUCUGGCUAAAUGUUUAGUUGACAGUUAAUUCACUUUGAUGACAAACUCAAGUUUCCCUCUUGCGAGGAUCCGGCUCCUGGUGUGCAUGUUCACAUUCUCGCUAAUAUGUUUGCGGGUGCAAUCUAUCAUUUUGUAUUAAUGUAAUUUAAACUGUUUUUUUCCCUCCUUUUUCAUUUUUCUUGUGAACAUUGUUUCUAGAACACCUUGCUGCAAAAGCAACGAAAUAGAUGUAUUCUUAUAGUGAAUUGGUAUGAUCUGCAUGUAUUAAGUGUAACAGUUUUGAAAGGUCUUAAAAUUGUUGCUCUGCAUUUCAAUAAAUGAAGCUUUGACAAGUUUAGCUGG
Molecule: RNA transcript, 2162 nt
Organism: Abrus precatorius (Indian licorice)
Lineage: Eukaryota; Viridiplantae; Streptophyta; Magnoliopsida; Fabales; Fabaceae
Gene name: chorismate synthase, chloroplastic
Exons: 14
Source: RefSeq, a predicted model, not a curated record